GACCUCGGAUCAGGUAGGAAUACCCGCUGAACUUAAGCAUAUCAAUAAGCGGAGGAAAAGAAACCAACAGGGAUUGCCCUAGUAACGGCGAGUGAAGCGGCAAUAGCUCAAAUUUGAAAUCUGGCCUUCGGGUCCGAGUUGUAAUUUGUAGAGGAUGCUUUUGGCGCGGUGCCUUCCGAGUUCCCUGGAACGGGACGCCUUAGAGGGUGAGAGCCCCGUACGGUUGGACACCAAGCCUCUGUAAAGCUCCUUCGACGAGUCGAGUAGUUUGGGAAUGCUGCUCUAAAUGGGAGGUAAAUUUCUUCUAAAGCUAAAUAUUGGCCAGAGACCGAUAGCGCACAAGUAGAGUGAUCGAAAGAUGAAAAGCACUUUGAAAAGAGGGUUAAAUAGUACGUGAAAUUGUUGAAAGGGAAGCGUUUGCGACCAGACCUUUUCCUGGCGGAUCAUCCGGUGUUCUCACCGGUGCACUUCGCCAGGUUUAGGCCAGCAUCGGUUUUCGCAGGGGGAUAAAAGCUCUGGGAACGUAGCUCCUCCGGGAGUGUUAUAGCCCUCUGCAUAAUACCCUUGCGGGGACCGAGGACCGC
RNAcentral lists this ribosomal RNA (584 nucleotides) under Xylaria feejeensis. RNAcentral describes it as "eukaryotic LSU rRNA". It matches the Rfam family "Eukaryotic large subunit ribosomal RNA", at positions 1 to 596 of the family's 3401-position model. Lineage: Eukaryota; Fungi; Ascomycota; Sordariomycetes; Xylariales; Xylariaceae. The record is from RNAcentral.